Molecule: transfer RNA, 61 nt
Filed under: Elaphe quatuorlineata (Four-lined ratsnake)
Lineage: Eukaryota; Metazoa; Chordata; Lepidosauria; Squamata; Colubridae
Description: tRNA-Gly
Source: RNAcentral
AUUUCUUUAGUAUAACAGUACAAAUGCCUUCCAAGCAUAAAGCCCCCCAAGGGAAGAAAUA